GACAGAGGGUGCAAACGUUGCUCGGAAUCACUGGGCGUAAAGGGCGCGUAGGCGGCCUGUUAAGUCGAACGUGAAAUCCCCGGGCUCAACCCGGGAACUGCGUCCGAUACUGGCAGGCUUGAAUCCGGGAGAGGGAUGCGGAAUUCCAGGUGUAGCGGUGAAAUGCGUAGAUAUCUGGAGGAACACCGGUGGCGAAGGCGGCAUCCUGGACCGGCAUUGACGCUGAGGCGCGAAAGCCAGGGGAGCAAACGGG
This 253-nucleotide ribosomal RNA is filed under the name uncultured bacterium. RNAcentral describes it as "partial 16S ribosomal RNA". It matches the Rfam family "Bacterial small subunit ribosomal RNA", at positions 524 to 776 of the family's 1533-position model. The record is from RNAcentral.